UGCCCUAUAGCUCAAUGGCAGAGCGAUCGCUUGUUAAGCGAAGGGUUGUAGGUUCAAGUCCUACUGGGGCAGCCA
Molecule: transfer RNA, 75 nt
Filed under: Thermosynechococcaceae cyanobacterium MS004
Lineage: Bacteria; Bacillati; Cyanobacteriota; Cyanophyceae; Acaryochloridales; Thermosynechococcaceae
Also listed under: 1 other name
Description: tRNA-Asn
Rfam family: tRNA
About the family: Transfer RNA (tRNA) molecules are approximately 80 nucleotides in length.
Source: RNAcentral